GCUUGAGUAGUUUAUUUAAAAUAUUAAUUUGUGGAUUUAAUGAUGUAAUAAUUUACCUUGAGCU
RNAcentral lists this transfer RNA (64 nucleotides) under Teredorus nigropennis. Its description in RNAcentral is "tRNA-His". RNAcentral also lists the same sequence under 2 other names. Lineage: Eukaryota; Metazoa; Arthropoda; Insecta; Orthoptera; Tetrigidae. The record is from RNAcentral.